RNAcentral lists this ribosomal RNA (462 nucleotides) under uncultured bacterium. RNAcentral's name for it is "bacterial SSU rRNA". It matches the Rfam family "Bacterial small subunit ribosomal RNA", at positions 29 to 507 of the family's 1533-position model. The record is from RNAcentral.
AAUGAACGUUGGCGGCGUGGAUUAGGCAUGCAAGUCGAGCGCUCAUAGCAAUAUGGGAGCGGCGAACGGCGUAGUAAGACGUAGGAACGUGCCCUCGGGUCGGGGAUAGCUACGGGAAACUGUAGGUAAUACCCGAUAAUCUCUGCGGAGCAAAGGUGUGAUUCCGCCUGAGGAGCGGCUUACGCGAUAUUAGCUAGUUGGUGGGGUAAUGGCCUACCAAGGCGAUGAUGUCUAGGGGGGUGUGAGAGCAUGGCCCCCCACGACCGGAACUGAGAUACUGUCCGGACACCUACGGGUGGCUGCAGUCGAGAAUCUUCCGCAAUGGACGAAAGUCUGACGGAGCGACGCCGCGUGCGGGAUGAAGGCCCUUGGGUUGUAAACCGCUGUCAGAGGGGAUGAAAUCUUCGGAGGUACUCCUCCGAAGUUGACAGAGCCUCAAAGGAAGCACGGGCUAAGUACGUG